UCGGUGUGUAUGUGUUGUGUUUUUCUCUGUUGUGUUUUUUCUUUGAAUCAAUACAAUUUUGUAAUUACAAAAUAUACCACAGUCAAAUUAUCUUUGAAUACAAACAAGACUUUAUUGCUAAUCUAAACAUAAAACUAAUCUAACACAUACAAACAUGAAACAGGUUGGUGACUAAAGUGAACAAAGUGACGAGUAGAAAUGAUCUAUACAGAGAAAAGGAACUUUAUGGAGUCUGUAGACAAUGCCUUAAGAACCAUUGAUACUUUGGGUAAUCUGAUUGCAAAUCGAUUUAGACUCUAAGUAUUUAAAUAAUACACCAGCACUUUCAGCAAAAGUCUGGAGAUAUAUUUGUGUGUCGUUGCGAAGAAGAAGAGAGAGCAUUCUUCCUUGGUACCAGAGCUUUGCGUUGAGAGUGGCAGAACCCCAAAGGUGUCCUGAGCCAAUCAGAAGUGACUUUUCGGAGUCACAUGGUCAACCACCUCCUUCCUUUUCAAAGUUGAUUUACAAUCCUUUGUGUAAAGGAUUCUUAAAAAUUCCCAAUCAAAAUGGUACAUGUUUUAACCAUACAUUUCAUAUCUUGGAUACAACUGAAUAUACCAAAAAAUUAAUUAAAAUAAACAUUCCUGAAAUGGAGAAAGAAUCCUAACGAUAGUAAACAUGAUGUGCUUUAUCAUGAAUAGUUACCAUUCUUAGUAAAAUUACAUGAAUAACAUAAGAUUAAAGAUUAUAAUCAUCAAUUUGUCAGUUAUAAGUGAUUACAAAUCACUGCACAUAUUUUAAAGGGUACAUACAUUCAUUCAUUUGUCAGUUAUAAAAGUGAUCACAGGUCAUAACAUCAUUUUCAGAAUUAUCUAGCAAGGCUAGGUAUUGUGUAUUUCAGUACAAGGGUGAUUCCAUGCAUUUUAUAGGGUUAACUUAGCAAAGUACUGUGACUUUGUGUGAAAUGUUCCUGGAUUAAGAUGAGAUGUCUUAGUAUUAGAAUCGUGCAAACACGAGGGUCUCAUAAGGAAACCUGCUUUAGCUCUGUGUGGAAGUUCAGAAGGUCAUGCUGAGUCUGCCCUAUGUCACUGUCCCAUGGGUUGAGGGGCCUCUCUGACCAAUGGCCCUUUUGUUUUAAAUCAUGCUGUUUUAGCAGAAUGGUUAGUCUCCUUGACCAUUUUAUCAUCCAAAGUCAGGUCUCAACCAAAGGCCUUGGCGCCUAGCAGAGCAGAAUCUUUUAAUUUAUGACAUUGAGGAAUUCCAGGGGUCUCUGUCAGCCUUAGUUUUGUGACAGUUACAUUUUAGGCAGAUGCAACAAACUUCUCAUUUAGCUGGGCCAUGCCAGACUUUAGGGAGCCAUUUUGGCAGCUCUUAGUUUUAUGGCUUUGAGGAAUUUCCAGUGUUAUAGGCCAUCUUGCUGAAAUUCUGUUUUAAUUCUUCUUAAUUUCCUUCUGCUGGGAUAAUCCGAUCCUUCAGCGCAAAGCGCAGUGCUAUGUGCAACGACCGUGUGCAACGUCUUAUCCAAUUUUUGUGAGAGCACUAAUUCAAAUCGCAAUUUUCGUUUUUGUUUCCACCUGUUGUCACAGAGUGAUUUUUAUGUCACUGCAAUACAGACCAGUGGAAGAAGUUGGAGACAGUAAAAUGUUUGGAAUUGGUAGGAUAUGAUUUUCUGACCACUUAGUUAUUUCGAUUAUAUUUUUGUUUCAUUUGAAGUGUACAUUGUUAGCCCAGAUUUAAUAUCUAAUUAAACCAUUUAAUUACAAUAUACUUAAAUGAUUUAAGUUUAAUUGCAUCACUAUAACGUGUAAGUAUAUUCUACUAAUUUGUAGACAUAUUUGAAUGUGUGAAUAACUAAGUUAAAUGGCUUAAAAUUAUUACGUUUUUGUCCUGACCACACCUCCGCCACUUGAAAAAAGGGAAGUCACAUAUGUCAUGUCUCAUAAUAAUGAGAAUAUAUCUCAUAAUUAUGAUGUUGUAUCUCAUAGUUAUGAUUUUGUAUCUCAUAAGUAUAAGAUACUAUGUCAUAAUUAUGACUUAUUAUGUCAUAAUGACUUAAUAUUUCAUAAUAAUGAGAACAUUUCCCAUAAUUAAGACUUAUACUUAUGUUCAGUCAUUAUAAGAUCAUAGAAAGUCAUAAUUAUGAGAUUUCUAUGAGAAUUAUGUAAUUAUUAUGAAAACCUAAGUCAUUAUUAUGAGAUAUGUUCUCAUUAUUAUGGCAUACUAUGUAAUUUUUUUUUAAGUGGCAGAAAUGGGUUUCCGUAUGUUUUGGCCAUCACUUCUAAAUAUUUCAAAUUCAUUUCUGAGAAAUCACAUUUUUCUGUCGAUUCUGUAUGUCUAAUGGCACAGUACCCAUGAGCCUCUGCAUAUGUUACUAUGGAGACGACUCUGGCAGGAUCAGCAAAAUAUAUUCAAAUAUAUUCAGUAUUAUAUUAGAAUGUUGUCAAAGGUGGCGGCUGCAUCUUUUAACAGAAUACAGCAAUUGGCAGUUUCUUGAGGCAAUGCACGAUGGGAACGUGAAUGCACACCUGGCCUUUAGAUACCUCGCCAGCCCAUCCCCCACACUAAUGUCUCUGACACUGGUCAGCUGUUGCGGAGUCAGGCAAAGUCAUUUUCUCGUGGUUGCAAAAGUGUGUGCGAAUUUGAUGAGCUGUUGGUGAGAAGUUGGAAAAUUUGUUUUAACCAGUUUGACAGACAUUUUUUUGCUUGUUACAUUUUUAUAAUUUAUUAAUUAUAAUAAUUGUAUUUAUUUAUCACAUGUUAUACAUUUGCACAUAUAUAGUGACAUUUUUUUUUUUUUUCACAUAUCCCAGCUAAGCUUGGGUCAGAGUGCAGGGUCAGCCAUGAUACAGCACCCCUGGAGCAGAUAAGGUCAAGGGCCUUGCUCAAGGGCCCAACAGUGGCAUCUUGGCAGUGCUGGGGCUUGAACCCCUGACAUUCUGAUCAAUAACCCAGAGCCUUAACCACUGAGCCACCACUGCCCCGUGAGCAUUUUUGUGAGCUGUUUGUGAGCAGUGAAAAACGUUGUUUUAAAUAGUUCGACUACUUUUCUCACUCGCAUGUGGCAGACACCACCGUGCUUGAACCCCCAACCGGUGAGUUCGACAGACAUUUUUUCGUCUGUUAGGGAAAUUUUUCAUUUAUUAGCUAGAUACUUUCCAUACUCGUGUGCUUAAACUCCCACUUGGCGACGCAUGAGGUGCCGCACACUGCUUUCAGCUGAGGAGAGAGGAGGGCGACAGGACGAGUGCUGAACCAUGGUCUACUGAAUCUGGUCACAGGAAGAGAUGUUUUGGAAGUGUUUAUUACGAGUUCAACAGAGUGGUGGGGAAACAUCUCAGAGAAAACUUAUUUGAUGCUCUUGACCAUUUCUCUCCAAGCCUGAUAGACCUCUUCAGGAAGAAGAAAGGCCUCACCGCCCAGCUUUUGGCUGAGCUUUUAUGUCAGACAAAGACCACUGAGCCAACAGACAUUAGGUGCCUUUGUCUUCGGGGACUGCCGGUCAUUUUGGGGGAUGAUCCUUCUGCCUUCUUCAAGAACUGCUUCGAAAGUAUUUAAUUUGGUGUAAAUGUUGCAUGUACAUAGUUAUUUUUUUUAUUUUAAGCCAUUAAUGAAGACUGUCUGCUACUGAUUUUCAGAAUCAUUUAAUCAGCAUUCAGUAUUUCCCAGACUUUUAUUUUAUGGCCAAGCAAAUUUUAACUAAAAACAUUUUUGAAUAUCUGUAUUACUGAUUUAUGACAUGACAAACUGAAAAGAUUUGACUAUAAAAUCAGUAAAAAUGGGCUCAAAUGAACAUUUUUCUCUGCUGUGGCAGUACAAAUGAAAGGAAAAACUUCGACUAAUGGUUUCUGAGAUUGAAGGACAAUACUUGCAGUAAUUGGAUCUGUACAUUACAAGUAUUUGUUGCAAAACUGUUCACUGAAUAUGGUUUGAUAGCUUGGCAGUUCAGGAGAACUUCAGUCAUAGCUGUGCUGAAAAGAUUUGAAAAACUGCUCCCAGAAACUUAAGUUGUAUGACUCCCUUUACAUUUGCCUAAUUUUUUUGUUUUUUUACUUUACUGUCACCAGUUGGAAGCUACAUGUAUUUCUUGUCCCAAACUCAAACAUGAGUUUUGGGUCUGCUCGUUGUUAAAUCCUGGUUGUUCCAACAAGCGUGCUCAAAACUCCCGUUUCAGUUUGGGAGCCAAAGACAUCUGCAAAACUUUCCACUGGUGACAGUAAAUUAAAGCAGUUUAGGCAAAUGUACUUGGAGUCAUGUGAUUCACAAAAAUGUUGCAUGGUAACAUAGAAGUUUCUGGGAACAGUUUUUCACAUCUUUUGAGCACGACCGGGGCUGAAAGUGGGUAAACUCUCUCCAUAGGUGCUAAUCUACAAAACCAUAUUUGGUGCACAGUUUUUAAGUCAGUACUUGUAAUGUACAGAUCCAAAUAUGGCAGUUGACAAAAAGUCAUAUUAAGACUGGUAUUGUCCUUUUAAUAAUUACUUUCAGUGCAGUUUAUAUUGCAUGGUGCUUUUCAUUAUACAGUCGGAGGUACCAGGCCUGAUUUCAGAUCAAAAUCACUGAGGGUGCUUCUGAAAAUAGAGGGGGUGCUCUGAAUAAAGUGGAGAUGUAUCGUAAUUACAAAUUUUUAAAAUAUAUUAAAUCAUGUUUAAAUGCUACUAAAACAACGUAAAUAACAGUUUUUUAUGUACAAAACAUUUAUUGCUUCAUUUUUUUCACAUGAUCUGUCGCUGAAAUUGUCAGCAAAAUGCUGCACCUGCAGAUUGGGACAUACUGAUUUGCACAAUCAUACACAUUUAUACGUUUUGAUGCACCAAUUGUGUGUUCACAAACUGCAGGGCUUCGAAUUGGAUACUUAAGUGUUCCAGUGGACAUAUUUGUACCCAACCCUCUGCGGUGUUUCAACUGUCAAAAAUACGGCCAUGGAUCUAAUGGCUGCAACAAAAAACAUACCUGUUGUAACUGUGGGGAGGUAGGCCAUGACAAAAGGAGCUGUGAAAAACCAUCAAAAUGUUGUAAUUGCUCAGGUGAACAUUCUGCUGCAUCAAAACAGUGUCCCAUGUGGAUCAAAGAAAAGGAAAUACAGAAGAUCAGGUGUACUAAGAGAAUCAGUUACCUCGAAGCAAAGAAAAUGGUGGAUGUCGUCCCUGUUUUUACGCUGAAUACAACCUUCGCCUCUGUUGCAAAAAAAGCUGUGAGAACAACAGACUGCCAGACAGAUAUCACCUGGAUGCAUAAAGACAAACCCCAAACCAUUAACCAUAGUAAUAUUCCCCCAAAGAAGAAGAACACAGGAACCCAGAGCGAAACUCUUCUAAAUGACAUUCACUCCAGUCAGAGCUCAAUAACAGCAAACCAAAAGGCAAAUAAAAACAAUGGUAAGGCAAGUUCUUCACAAUCAAAAGUAUCCCAAGAUGAAGCCUCAAAGACAAAACAAACAAAAGAUGUGGAAAUGAAAGAGAAUGAAUACCAUAGUAGAAGUCCAUCCCCUAAAGGCAGAAAACUGUCCCUAUUCUCCCUAAUAGGUAAUGGAAAAUUAUAUCAUCCAAUGGAACUGUCGUGGUAUCAGGGCAAAUUUUACGGAGCUGCAGCGUCUAACUGCAAUUAUUAACCCUCUAGCCAUAUGUCUUCAAGAAACACAAUUACCACCAGACGGUACUCUCUCUUUUAAAAUUUUUACAAGUUUUAACACUUUCGGUCCCAGUGAUAAGCAGGCUUCCGGUGGUACAACUGUUUUGAUAAGAAAAGAUGUGAUCCAUAGUCAAAUAAAUAUUAAUAGCAAACUACAGGCAACAGCAGUACGCCUGACUUUGCAGAAAACAAUUACAGUCGUCUCUAUCUACAUUCCUCCAAAUUUUUAACUUGACACACAUGGACCUAGAUCACCUUAUCGCUCAGCUCCCAUCUCCUUUUAUUCUCAUGGGACAUUUUAAUAGUCAUAACACUUUGUGGGGCAGUAAUCACUGUAACACAAAAGAAAAGAAGAUUUUAUAGAUAACCACACCUUAUGUCUUUUAAAUAAUGGAUUGAAUACCUAUUUACAUCCAGGACAUGGAACGUACUCUGCAAUCGACCUAACAAUUUGUCAGCCUGAAUUAUUUUUAGACCUCUCAUGGAAAGUUUGGCAUGACCUCUGUGGAAGUGAUCAUUUCCCAAUCAUUGUAACCAUCAAAGGCAGAGAGGAAGAAACAAAUGUACAAAGAUGGCAAAUUAAAAAAGCAAAUUGGUAUCAAUUUCAAACCCUCUGUCAUGAGAAACUGACACGGUUUCCAGAAGACAGCCCAGAUGCUAUGCAAAAUUUAACUGAAAUGCUCUUAUCUAUAGCUAAUGAUACAGUCCCAGGGGCAGUGGUGGCUCAGUGGUUAAGGCUCUGGGUUACUGAUCAGAAGGCUGGGGGUUCAAGCCCCAGCACCACCAAGAUGCCACUGUUGGGCCCUUGAGCAAGGCCCUUGACCCUAUCUGCUCCAGGGGUGUCAUAUUAUGGCUGACCCUGCACUGUGACCCCAGCCUAGCUGGGAUAUGUGAAAAAGAAGAAUUUCACUGUAUAUGUGCAAAAAAUGUAUAAUGUGUGAUAAAUAAAGAAAAUUAUUUAUUAUUAUUAAUUAAUUAAUUAUUAAUAAUUAUUAUUAGUCCCAAGAACAUCUUUAAACAUAAAACAUAGACGACAUCCAUGGUUUGAUGAUACAUGUAAGGAAGCUAUAAAAGAGAGGAAAAAAAACUGAAAGACUGUUCUUCAGACAUCCAUCAACUGAAAAUCUUAUAAAACUCAAGAUGAGUAGAGCACGAGCAAGACGAAUUAUAAAUGAAGUAAAAAAGGAAAGCUGGAGAAGAUUUGUUUCCAACGUGACAAGUACUCCAUCAUACAAAAUAUGGAACCUGAUAUGGAAAUGAAGGGAAAAAACAACGGUCCUCAAAUACAACACAUCAAACAGCACAGCACACUCUUGACUUCAAAACAAGAAAUUGCAAACAUUCUAGCAAAAACUUUCGAAAACAAUCGUCUAUUGAGAACUGCCUUCCUGCUUUUCGAACUUUUCUUGCUCAACAAGAAAAAGAAAAGAUUAACUUUGGCUCCAGUAACACAGAGCCAUACAACCAACCUUUUUCUAUGGAAGAACUACAGCGAGCCAUUAAAAAAAUCCCACGAAACAGCUGUUGGACCGGAUAAAAUCCACUAUCAAUUUUUAAUGAAUCUACCCCACCUUUCCCUGAAUAUGCUCCUUAGAAUUUUUAACUCCAUCUGGAUAUCGGGAAAAAUCCCAUCUGCCUGGCAUGAAGCAGAAAUAAUACCUAUUCCAAAGCCAGGAAAAGACCAUAACGACUCCAUAAACUACAGCCCUAUAGCUUUAACCAGUUGUUUAUGCAAAACAAUGGAGAGGAUGCUCAAUGAUCGCCUGGUCUGGAUACUGGAAUCUAAACACCACAUAAGUAACGCCCAGUGUGGUUUCAGGAAAGGUCGAAGCACUACAGAUCACCUUAUUUGUCUUGAAAGCUAUAUUCGUGACGCCUUUACCAGAAAAGAACACAUUGUAGCUGUCUUCUUUUUUCUUUUUUUAUUAUUUAUUUUAUUUAUUUUAUAUUAUUUUUUAUGGCUGAUAUAACUUCUUGUUUAUUUGUCACACUGGAUAUAAAAGGUCAAGUCGAGCACAUUGAAUUGUUGGAUACAAUACUUCCAAUUAACAUU
Molecule: long non-coding RNA, 7660 nt
Organism: Myxocyprinus asiaticus (Chinese sucker)
Lineage: Eukaryota; Metazoa; Chordata; Actinopteri; Cypriniformes; Catostomidae
Exons: 4
Source: RefSeq, a predicted model, not a curated record